RNAcentral lists this ribosomal RNA (1101 nucleotides) under Salmonella enterica subsp. enterica serovar Kentucky. Its description in RNAcentral is "partial 23S ribosomal RNA". It matches the Rfam family "Bacterial large subunit ribosomal RNA", at positions 566 to 1584 of the family's 2925-position model. Lineage: Bacteria; Pseudomonadati; Pseudomonadota; Gammaproteobacteria; Enterobacterales; Enterobacteriaceae. The record is from RNAcentral.
CCACCACCAAAGCAUUCUCUGGUGUUGAAGGCCCUGCAAAGCAGCAUCGCGGUGGCGGAGCGUCGUUUGCGACGCCCAACACACAAAACAAGCGGUGAGUGCUUUGGGGUGGGGUGACUGCGUACCUUUUGUAUAAUGGGUCAGCGACUUAUAUUCUGUAGCAAGGUUAACCGUAUAGGGGAGCCGAAGGGAAACCGAGUCUUAACUGGGCGUUAAGUUGCAGGGUAUAGACCCGAAACCCGGUGAUCUAGCCAUGGGCAGGUUGAAGGUUGGGUAACACUAACUGGAGGACCGAACCGACUAAUGUUGAAAAAUUAGCGGAUGACUUGUGGCUGGGGGUGAAAGGCCAAUCAAACCGGGAGAUAGCUGGUUCUCCCCGAAAGCUAUUUAGGUAGCGCCUCGUGAACUCAUCUUCGGGGGUAGAGCACUGUUUCGGCUAGGGGGUCAUCCCGACUUACCAACCCGAUGCAAACUGCGAAUACCGAAGAAUGUUAUCACGGGAGACACACGGCGGGUGCUAACGUCCGUCGUGAAGAGGGAAACAACCCAGACCGCCAGCUAAGGUCCCAAAGUCACAGUUAAGUGGGAAACGAUGUGGGAAGGCUCAGACAGCCAGGAUGUUGGCUUAGAAGCAGCCAUCAUUUAAAGAAAGCGUAAUAGCUCACUGGUCGAGUCGGCCUGCGCGGAAGAUGUAACGGGGCUAAACUGUGCACCGAAGCUGCGGCAGCGACGCUUAUGCGUUGUUGGGUAGGGGAGCGUUCUGUAAGCCUGCGAAGGUGUCCUGUGAGGGAUGCUGGAGGUAUCAGAAGUGCGAAUGCUGACAUAAGUAACGAUAAUGCGGGUGAAAAGCCCGCUCGCCGGAAGACCAAGGGUUCCUGUCCAACGUUAAUCGGGGCAGGGUGAGUCGACCCCUAAGGCGAGGCCGAAAGGCGUAGUCGAUGGGAAACGGGUUAAUAUUCCCGUACUUGGUGUUACUGCGAAGGGGGGACGGAGAAGGCUAUGUUGGCCGGGCGACGGUUGUCCCGGUUUAAGCGUGUAGGCUGGUUUUCCAGGCAAAUCCGGAAAAUCAAGGCUGAGGCGUGAUGACGAGGCACUACGGUG